Molecule: long non-coding RNA, 15787 nt
Filed under: Drosophila guanche
Lineage: Eukaryota; Metazoa; Arthropoda; Insecta; Diptera; Drosophilidae
Source: RNAcentral
CGACUGUUGUGCUGUUGUGGCAGCCAGCACUCUAAGUGCGGCACAGCGAGCGAGCGCGAACAUGCAACACGACUAGUAUGCUCUCGAGCUCGGUAAUGCGCACAUCAUGGACGAGAGUGGGCGCGCAAGGCACAGGCAAAGGCAAAGGCACAGGCAGCAGGCGACAUGCGGCAGGCGAGCGACCCCAGUCGGCGGGCGGGCGCACGGAACAGGUUGCCUGGCGGCAGGGUGGGAUGGAUGUGGUGUCGUCUUCAGCUUCGUCUUCGUCUUCGAUUGUGGACUGACAACAGGAGGAAGUGAUAGAUAUCGUAUGUAGCAUGUGAAUCGAAAAGUGCGUGCCCCUGAUUGGGCCAAGGCCCCAAGGCCCUCAGGUCUCUGCCAUUAGGUUCUCGACAUGUUUACCUACCAGCGACUGAUGGCUUCAAGCAUUCACCUUUGUCCAAGCCACUGCCCGUUGCCCGCUGCUGCCACAAAGUGACAAAGUACUACGCAACAAAAACUAUUUGAGUGUUAAAGUUUACUGUCACGUGCUUUUCAGCGUCCCAGCGGCAGUGCUGUGGCAUAACGCUUCGACCUCCCUCGUGUACGAGUUUUUGGAAGCAUUACAAGUGACCCGUCAGCAUGGACUUUGCAGCCCGGCAACCCCGCACCCAACACUACUGGCCAGAAGAAGACUGUUUACAGUCGCGUCUUGAAAAUUGUCAGGUAAAUAAUUUGUUGCCUAUGGCCAAGAAAUUUCAGUUGUACGCAGAGACAUUUAUAAUGCUAAUUAAGGCAUAGAAAAAAUGACUAAGAAUCAAUGGGUUGCACGUGCACUUGCAUUCGUUUGAUAUUAAAAUAUUUGAUUAAAUAAUAUUUCAUACUUAAAGCAAAUAUUUUGAUGUUUAAAUUAAAUAUUUUCAUAUUUUUCCAGAUUUAAUUUAUUUUAUUUCCAAUAAAUAUGAAAAUUAGUAUGCAAUUUUUUAUUUUUCACCGCUUUCUCGAGUUCUCAACUUGAAUAUAUGUACAUAUUUCAGCCCCACUUUUCUGCCAAAAUAAUCCACUCAAAUUUGUAACUGCGUUCGUCUGCGCUUUGCAGUCAGAACUUAACGAGUAAACACAAGUAUUCUGCCGCUAUUGAAUUGAUUUGGAGUAUAGAAAAAAAGUGAGGCAGUUCCAUUCAAUGGGUUUUUGCACAGACCUUCUCCAGCUCCCAAGAGUUUUCUCCUGUUAAUGUUAUGAUGGAAGACCAGGCUAGUAUCGUCGCGUCGCGUGUCUGGGACCAUAAACAGAAAUUGUUUCGCAAAACGCCUCCGUCGCUUUUGCAAAAAUAAUGCAACAGCAAAGAGAAAAAAAAGAAGCAAGCGAAAAAAAUUAUCAUGAGCUAAAUAAUCAUAUUCAUAAAUGUACUUUUUUCAUUUUUUUUUUGUUCCUCGCCGCCGCCUCUCGGCCACCCUUAGUCUAGGCAGUUAUUCAUCAGCGCAUCAAACUCGACUCGUACUCGACUCCGUACUAUAUAUGUGUGUAUAAGAAAGAGUUCGUUCGUGGCGUCGAUGAUACAACCGAUAAGGGACCAAUUUUUGCAAUUGCAGCGCUGGAAUUUUUAAUUAGUUCAAGAAAGCCGCAGCCGGCGAGGAAGCGGCAGCCACUCACCGUCUUGUUAUGGUCAGAAUGAAAAGGCAGAGAACGAAAUAAUAUCUUCUGAAGCGCACACGUAAGCUAAAAAUUAGCAUACACUGUUGCCACAGUACUCCACGAAGUAGCCCAUAAAAUGUAUUAAGUUAAAGUAUGUGUUAAGUGCACACCACACACACCACAAGUCACAUGAAUGUCGAUAAAACCUGCCGAUAUUUGCCAUUUCUCUUGCCAAGCUCUUUCCUUUUGCCACUGUGAAUAGUUAUUUGGUGUCUUAAAUAAGACAUAAUUUCUAUUUGUUUUUCUAUUACAAAUAGUCAUGGCAUAAGGCGUGUUCGAUUGCAUUGUAUUAGCGCUAGUCAACGGCUGGGUAGGCUGCGGUAGUCUGCGGUUAAGAAAAAUUGGCGGCAGCAGCCGACGAAGUAUGGAAUAAUUAAAAACAAUUCAAUUCGCAAUUUGCACCAUAAUAAAAAUAAAUUACAUAUUCAUUUAUGCUGAAUAUAACCGCUAAACUGCAACUGCAACACCGCAGAUCUCUGCAACGGGCCUGGGCCUGGGCCUGGGCCUCGGUCUGGCCACAUGCAACCACCGACCGACCGGCCGGAUUGCAACCAAGUGCAGUGGUGCAAGAAGUUGGACCUACAUGAAGGGUCAUUGCCUGCUUUUGGGUGUGGGAACUGCCAUGCUCGUAUAUUACAUAGUCGAUUGAUUGUUUUUCCUUGGAAACAUCAGCAAGAAAACUAAUUGAAAUGGGCUCCUCCCAUUAAAACUUUUUAAUGCUAGAAAAUAAAUCCAAUUUCCCGCAGCCAAGUGGUUGAUUUUGGGUCAGUUUUUGCGUAUCUUAAAUAUGCGAAAUAUGAAUAUUCCACCUCAAAUCAGAGGAGCCGCCCCAGUCUGUUAACAUGCAACACACUCGGAGGUUUCGUGUUCAGCUGAAAUAGAAUUUUCCAUCCAUCCUUUUCCUACACAUCGCACUGUGAUGUGCUGUGAAGUUUUAUUUUUCCAGCAACAAUACUUUCAGCGAAGUGCAUUUUUAUGAACAGCGGCACGCACUUGCUCAUUUCUUUUAAACAAACCUGAUUAAGAGUGUAAAUUAUUGCGAAAGUUUGCAAAUUUGUACAUGAACAUAUUUAUCAAAAUAAAAACAGCUUUCAAACCCUUCUCACAAUUAAAGCAGUAAGGAAAAACUAGUCUAACAUUGAUUCUCAUAAGGGGGAAAUUAUACUAUUUAAAUUGGAAACAUCGGAGUGUGUUUGCACCUUUAAAUAUUGCUCGUACUUCGAUGAGUCUCGCGUCUCUUACAAGAGCGUACAAUUUUAAUUAAAACCGACCAGCAGUGUCACUCACUGACAAAACCGACAAAACAAAAAAAGGAAAGGAAAGAUCAGCUGAGAAACAGGUUUAUUUUGUUUCUCUCUUUUUUAAGGAAUGAACCUCAUUCACGGGAGCGUUCCCUACACUGUUGUUUUAAGUGUUCGUGACAGCGAUUAAGCUGCUCAUUCGGUUGGCACGCUUUUUGUGGCUGCCACAGCCACAUCAGAGCCCCCUACUGUUAUUAUAAAAUACCAGACUCCAAUUGCAGGAAGUCCAUUUUUUCUAGCCAAAUUCCUAUAUAAUGUCUAUAUUAUCAGCCUUUACAUGAAUAUCCACACAAGUUGUAUACAAAAUAUAACACAUAAUAGCGCUGAAAGUUAGAGAAGUGUUUCAGUUUGAACUCCUUAAUUUUCUGCCCUAAAUGCAGCAUGUGCUGUAGUCGGCUAUUUGCCAGAAUUAAAUUCAAUCACCUCUCAUGUCCUGCUGCUGGUCAGGUGGAGGGGAAGGGACCGCAAAGUUCGUCUGGCGUAGGCGGAUGAAGAAUAUUGAAUUUUUUAAAAUGUGAAAAAAAAAUGUGAUUCUGCUUUCAUGUGACUGUUGGUUUAUCGGAGGUGGCAACACUCCACUCCACUCCAGUUGCCCCCUUUUUACAUUGUGUACUGUCGUCCAUGAAGUGCAACCUUUUAUUUAAAUGUUAACAAUAAAAAUGUAUUUGCAUUUAUCGAUUUCCCCUUUUGAGGCUGUCGCCGAAGAGGAAAACAAAAUUAAAAGAGGUCAUAUCCAAUAUUCACGUCGCGAAUCAGUAAAUCCCAAUGAAAAUUGGCUAGACUUCUGCUUGGAAAUAAAGUGAAUCCACAGGAUUGUUCUUUGUGUGGGUUUGGUGCUAUAAAUAAUAAUAGAAAAUCAUUCGUAAGACUAUUUCGUUGAGAGCCAGUGUUUUCGCCAUAACUGCAUAAUUUUUAAUAUAUUUUAGACUAAAACAUUUCGUAAUUUAUGAACCGUUUAAUGUUUAUAUCAAGCGAGAAUACACACAACUUUGACCAUUUAAUGAGCCUGUUGUACACACUAAUAUACGAGUAGUUGGCAUUUCAAAUUCAAGAUACCUGAACUUCAAAGGGGCACUUGCCCCAAACAUAGACACAGCCACAGACAAUAAUAAAGAGCGAAGAGCUCUAUGUAUUGUACAUAGAUUGUACACACAUAUAGCAACGUAACCGUUUGUUAAGCCUUUGUCUAGCAGCCAUUUUAAGGGCUAUAAAAAACUCGAAAAGUUGUAGGAACAAUGUAGACAGCGUGUUUUCAUUUUAUGCGAAUUAAGCUGCCACUUGAACAACUUACUUUUGCCUCCACCAGCGAGACUCCAGACUGAACUGGACCGCCGGGACGACGACACUGACACGGCAACAGUCCAAGGAUCGCACACACACAAGGGGCAUGCUCGGGGCAUGUGUGGACACUAGAGAUGGGCCAGAGAAUUUCUAGAUUUUAUAUGAAUAAUAUUAACUGAAUAGUUUUAAUAAUAUUUAUUGAAUAAUAAUGCAAUUUACACGCGUAAACGUUGACCUAACCAGAAUGUCAAUUAUAAUAUAAAUCCUUGUAGAAUUUACAAAUAUUGUGGUAUACUUUUAGGAUGCUUUAAGGACACGUACCGCUUGCAUGUGCUACAGGGCAUCAAAGAGGACAUCGCCGACAGCACACAAGGGAUACAGUUGUUAACGUAUACAAGGGGUAGGCGUCGACGACGACGACGACGACGACGAGGACAAACAUGCCAACCGAGCAACGGGAAGGGUUGGCCUACUACGCCUCCGCCUCCGCUCGACUGCAGUUGAAGGAAUGGCAAGGAAAGGAGCACUUUAUGUGCAUAUAAUAUCUGAAUGUUCGCCGUACCACAUACGACCCAGAGGCAGAGCCACAGCCAUAGCCAGGGCCAGACACAUGUAUACGUAGGACACAGUGUCAUCCAAGUUGCGGGGAAUUGUUAAUAUUGUCUGUGCGCCUGUAAGCAGCAUUUACAUGCUGGCCGACACCACGUACUACUAGGACGUCGAAGUCCUGGCUGAUAGAAGAGCUCUCAUGUGUGGAUGGGCCCCGCUCGGGCUUUAAGUAGGCGCACUCUCUGGCAACAGACUUUGUUUUAACAACAACAAAAAAAGAAGAUAAAUCUACAGACAUGCAUAUAUUUCGCAGAUGCUGAAUCAACUUAUGAAGCUGGCCGGCGCUUUCAUUAGAUGCAAAAAGGAUGAAUCUAGUGCAGAACUUUGUCUGGGUGAGUACUUUCAUGUACAUACAUUUCUCCCACAUAUGUCUGCCAUUGUGUGGUGUAAUUAACAAACACUGAACAUCACUACUGAAAGGGUUACUCUGGCUUUGGGUUCGAAGUUAUUAAGAGACUCCCUUUAACUCCCUUUAAAUCCCAGCUUAAAGUGUUAGCCCUGCUUGGGGUCUGAGCUCUCAAUAAUCGAUUGGAUUCGCUGCUGGAAACAUCUUAGGUAUACAAAAUAAUGAUGCGAAAGUAAAUGAGAUGUGUGCUAUUGAAUUCAACCUGGCAUGGGAUGCAUGGGAAAUGAUACACGCACAUACCCAAACGGAGUACAUAUGUACUCUGUGGCUGAUGUAUUCGCACAUGUGUGCUGGCUGGCUCCUGCUCCUACUCCUACUCCUCCUACUCCUCCUACUCCUGUAAGUAACGAACACACAUGGCUAGCGAGCACUCAUUUACCGCCUACUGUCGCUACACACUGCCGGGAGUCAUUCGUCAGUCAAUCCGUCGUCGUUCGGCAUCCUCUCCAGCGACCCGGGUUCCGCCAUCCGUGUUCCAUCCGGGCGGCGUAACCAGCGCACAUUCGUCAGAAUUUGCAUUUCAAUUCGAAUGUCAGGAUGACGGAGCGUCGAAUUUGGGUGGCAGAGUGUGUGUGUGUGUGUGUGUGGCAUCGGAAUGAAAAUAAAUCACGCUGCUUUACCGCAUAGGCAACUUGGGGCAUGGCAUGGAGUGAGUGGGGGAGCAACGCAGACGCACCACAAGGGGGCGAAACAGAGCCACCAUUAAGCCAAAACAGUGCCUGGGGGCGGGCCACGGGCUUGAGGGAACGAGUCCCCCAUUCGAACUCAUUUAUUCGCAUUUUUUGCCAAGAAUGAAUGUGGAAACUUUUUUCGCCAUCAUUUUGAGUGAUGUCAAUUAGAUUGAUUUGAUCAGCGAAAAUAUGUGAUUUAUCAGACAGCAACAGUGGCUGGGCGGCACCAAGGAUACAGGAUACAGGCUACAGGCACCAGGACAUUCAUCGUUCCAUCUCCAUUGCUCCCUGAAGCUGAGUUGGGAUGCGUAUGAAUAUCUAAUGUGGCAUACAAGUCCCCGUACGCAUUCAGCUUCGUCAUUCAUUCGUUCGUUCGUUCGUCUAUGUAUUGGAUUUAUGUUUGUAUGUUUUUGUAUGUACUUCAUCAAUCAGUCAUCUAACUAUUUGCAAAGUCUUAGUCAAUAGAACAAAGCAUUCAACUUUAAGGGCAGGACACUGCAGAAAUGCUGGAAAAGUUGAAUGACAAUUUAAUUUCGUAGUUAAACCUACGAAAAUUCACUCUCAACUUAUUACUUUUUGCUCUAAAAAUCUACGAAGAACUUCCUAAGUCUUUGGACCAUCGAAAUGUGUUGUUGUUUGAGUGAUUAGACCCAGAAAAUCUCACAAUUAGUUAAACAAGCGAAACUAUUUGCACAGAAAACAAACCGCACACCCCCCCAAAUUUCCCAGUUAUAACUUAUGUCUGCUUACUCCUCCUCCUCCUGCUCCUCGUAGUAUAACUAUCGUAUUAAGGGAUAUUUGAUUAACCGCUCUCUGCGUGGCAUUGUUUGUGGGAAUAUAAUGAAUCCGGGGCCAUAUCCCUGCCCCUGCCACACACGUUACUAGCUACGCCUACAAUAUUAAUAAAGCAUUCUGCGCGGUGGAGAGUGGCGUGGCAGCACCACUUGCGGGUGCCAUGGAAAGCAAAUAAAAUAAAUCAAAUCGGGAAAUGGAAACGGGGAAUGGGCAUGGGCAUGGAAGGAAAAAGAAAAUCGCAGAUCCUGAAUCAAGGCAAGUGUGUAAUAGGGGCUGGGGGCCGCUGCUAACGAAAACAAAAGGGGAGCCCCCCGUGUUUGGCAACCAAAAUUUAUGCGCGCUCUCUUUGGCCCAGGCCGCUCCCACGCAAUGUUACCCCAAAUUUUGCCCAGAUGGGGAAAGGACGCAGGACGCUGGUUCUGUGGUUGCGCGUUGGUCCUGUUCUUCGGGGGUGGCUACAUGUGUCAAUAACUCAUUUUCAAAUGGAAAUAACAUCAAAUAAAAUUCGCGCUACUGUGUCCCCCUGCCCUGCCCUCCGGACUGCCACUUCCAUGUGUGUCAAUCCAUUCUGUUGUCGUUGGUCUUGGUUGGGCAAUGGCUGGCCCCUGUGACUGAUGAAAUAUCGUGACAAGCAGUAUAAAAGCCAUUAAAGUCGAGUGUAGAUGGCGCUACUUGAAUUUGUCAAAAUGUCUUUUUACGCGCUUGAGGCGCAGCAGGCACAGACAGCGAGACAGUCAGACAGUCAGACCCAUAGCCAAAACAGAAAAUACUACACACGCCUAGACCCAAACCCAAACCCAGAGCCAGAGUCGUUUCUACAGGUUCGUGUGACCCCCCAACCCCAAUCCCCAUAAGUCAUAGGAACGGGUGAAACUUUGAUUGAUGUCGAUGUGUCACGCAGGCGCGCAUGUGGCUAAUGGGCGGUUGCCGUUGCUGCCAUUGUGGCACUCCAAUGUUCGAUGUUUCAAGGUGGGGGGAAUCAUUUGAAUGAUGUUGCCAAUUGGGCGCAGUUUGAACUUUUGGGAGAACUCUGAGAGGAGCUAUCUUAGCGAAUUCUAGAGCAAAAACUGACUCAAGCUCCAGCUCUACUUUAUGCGGACAUAACAAGUUCGGUUUUGGCAGCAAGACCAAGGGGGGAAAGGGGAGCGGGACACCCGUGAAGUACGAGUAAUGUCCCGCUGUUGUUCAAGAGGCGUCUGUCCACAAAUAAACGGCGCCCUGACCGAUGCGCGCGCCCCAAAUGCAUCAAAGUAACGAGCUCAAGCUGCGCGCCACAUCCAGCCACCAUCCACCAGCCUCCCGUCAUCUCGCCUGGAGAUGUCCCCUCUGCAAGUCGUAUGGUGGGGAGACUGGCGCCCACAGUUGUGAUAUAUGAAAUUAACUUAAUAAAGCAAUGAAAUAUCGUCCGUGAAUGAAACGCGAUUCCAAGAGGCCGAAUGCGAUCAGCAGGCGCUUUGUGCCUUGCUGCGACUGCAUAAAUUGUGGCACUUUAGGGGCCAUCGCAGCUAACGCCGAGAUGUGCAACGCCCUGUGCAACACCUCAGGUGUCUGUUGGGCUUCUUUUUUGUUUGCCAGAGUAUCCGGUGACUAAUUGCGCUUUUAAAUUGGAGCCGAUGGGAGCACAGGAAAAAAAGAGAACUACUAAUCAGACUUUAUUGGAGUAUAAAAAUCUGAUGGGAAUUAGUGCUGUCUUUUAUGCCUAUAAUUCGGUUUUAGUUAAGUCUCUUUGGCUGAUUUCUAGACGCUAUUUCGCACCACUCUAAUGCCAAAUUCCCCUUUGAAACUUCAGUUGGCGAAUUGCAUUCUCAAUGGAAUUAAAAGUGGGGAUGGAGGAGCGAAUGGUACUGGUCAUCACGGUGUGGGUGGCCAAAGGCUUCUUCCUUCUAUGCCAUUGUGUGGCGCCCAUUGUUUGGGGCGCUGCCAUUGUCUGGAGUAAAUUAAGCAAAACUUUGCAUGGGUGGCUGGCCCCCCCCCCCCCCAUGCAUAGUUUUGCACCCAAGCAAGUCAAUUCAUUCAGGAGUGUGUGGCAUGUGGCAGCUCCCACCUUAUCUGCAUGUGUCCUGCCAGGCAGAGCGGCUGUACAGAAAACUCCUUCCACUUUGCUCUCUCUCUCUCUCUCUCUCUGCUGGUCUUAACUUUUCACUCUAAGCCCGCCGCCAGCGAGCAUCACGCAAUAAAUUACGUUAAAGACGCCAGACCCAGACCCAAACCCAGACCCAAGGCCCGAAAAUUUGCAUUCCACACACCACACCAUGCCACCAUGCCACCCCUUCGAGAGCGGCACACGCAUCAUCAUAAUUAAUAAGAGACAAUUUGACAAUGGCCCUUUAGCGUUAACAGCGAUAUCAUUUUCAACUGUACAAACUGAGCGGCGAUGUGAGCAUCCACACUGCAAACACACACCGAGACAACACAGAGACAAGUCAGAGUAACACCCCCUUUGCCAUUUUGCGCCAAAUUAAAUUCAACCUCAAUUGAGGGGUUAAUUUCUAUCACCACGCAAACAAAACAAAAACGAAACGCCCAGCCCAGCGCAGACCAGACGUACGUGGUGGGGUGGCUGCGAAUGGGGGCGAGCGAGUGCGGAUCCGGAUCCGGAUGCGACCAUCAAGAGGGGUGAAAUAUCUACCAAGAGAGAGAGAGAGAGAGAGGAUAAGAGAGUGGGAGAGGUGUGGGAGCGUGGGUGUCGCAACCAUUAUCUGCAUCGAGUUCCACAUAGAAAAUCAUUACGCCAUUCGCACCAUGAGACGUAUUCAAUUUGAGUGUCGUUGAGCUCUUUAUUACGUUAGUGUGAAAGUCGCGUGCACCAAAAACCCCCAAUAGCCGCCCGGCGGCAUACACCGAAGGGCAUCCCCUGAUGCUCCGGCCUGGCCUGGCCUGGCCUGGCCUCAGCCUGGACCCGGGUAAGCUUCCCCCCCGGCCAAGGCACCACACCAACAGCGCAUUCAUUCACGGUGCGUAAGUCACAGCAAAGCAGCAGCAGCCAGAGCAGCGGCAGGAGGAAGUGGAAGUGGAAGUGGAAGUGGCUAUGGAAGUGGAAGUAAAUUGAAAGCAUGCUGCGAAGCGGUCUCAACCCUAACCCUUCAAUUGGUAGCGUCAGUGGCAGCGGCAGCGGCAGCCACGAAAUCCAUUAGCAGGCAGCGUGCGGCGAACGGCAAAAGGCAAAGGCAAAGGGACUACAGAAGGCUACAGGCUACAGGCUACAGGCUAGAGGAACGAACGGUGACCAUGAGGCUUUUAUGCAGAAAGCGUACUGCUCCGUUUUCGGUUAACCAUGGGCAUGCCCCGGCACUACUCAAUCUCAACGAGACUCAUAAACAUAUGCGCCUCACGUCGUUUGGCGCAAAUUUAAUGUGGCCGAUGGUAGACGUAGACGACGACGACGACGACGACGACGACACCCCCCGACCCAUGGCACGCCCCAUCCGACAGACGGUUAGCUAGCUGUUCUUUGAUGAGGUUACUGACUUUGGCGAAUUAACUCCCACUGCCACCACCCACUCCAGCACAGGCAGGACGAACGGCUCGGGUUGGGUCGCUGGCGAACCGGAAACCACUGCAUUUUGUUGGCCCGAAAACCGGGGUGGCACGCUUCAACGCCUCAGAAAAUCUCUUGGGACAUUUUAGAAAUACAAUGCAGCAUUUAGAUAAACAGAAACUUUAGAGCUCUUACGACUUUCGACCCUUAAUAAGUGUGCGCACACCAGGGCAUACCAAGGGGCACAGGAGUUGGAAAUCAAUCCUUCUACGUGGAGUUAUUUUUUGAGACUUUAUAAUUUGGUUACCCAGUUUACCCUGUUUUUCUAUGCAUAUUUCUCUUGGUUUUCUAGCCUAUUCGUUUAAGAUUUUCAUGUAUUAAUUACCUACUAAUUUCUUUGUCUUGUCUUCUAUUAACUUCCGUAAGUCUUUCCACUUUAGUCCGAAUUACUUGUGCGAAGUAUUACCCUAAAUCAGCUUAUUAAAUGCACAUAAAACACACCCAAAUAAUGAUAACUAAAUUGAUUGGAGGGGAAACAUAUGCGCUAAAGAUUGAUACACUUUUGGCUCAAAUCAAACAAUCGAAUGGAGUGAAAAUAAUCCGACACAUCAAAGCCCAAUCCAAUUGGAAAGGUUGCUGGCUGGGACUGUGCCUGGGCCUGCCAUAAAUUUUAUUUAUUUAUGUAUGUUCCGUUUUGUUUUGUGCUUUCGCUUAUGCCGAAUACCAGACCAAAAUCGACCAUGAAUAUCAAUGGGGGAACUCAGUUCAGUUCAGUUCAGUUCAGUUCAGUUCAGUUCAGUGUGGUGUGUGCCGCCAUCGGCACGCGCCCAACUUCAUCCGAUACUGGGGGCUUAGUGCCUUGUGCUUGUGCCUCUGUGCCACUCGGUGGCCGUGCCAAGUGGGUAUUGAUAUUGUUUUUAUCAGCGUCUACGGACCUUCCUUCGAUUUCUUGGCCAGACGAGGGACAAGGACUGAGACCGGGACUGGGACAGGACCUGGCCGCGGGCCUUAAGCACUUGUGCUCCUGAUGCGUAUUUAAUUUUAUUUUAUUUGGGAUUUUACUUUGCUUUACUGCCGAGAAUGCCAAGGGAAGUAAAUCACGGCAGUAUUCCUACCCCCCGCCCGCGACGGUGUUGCUUGAACGGUAGCAAAGUGGCACUUUUGGGGUUGCUGCCGCUGCUGCUGCUAUCCAUUUACUAUGGAUUGCCCCUGGCCGAUACUGAUGGACUAUGACUAGGACUCGAGGACAUAGCAAAAAUACAACAAAAAAAGGAGAAACAUACGAGGGGCGUCCGUGUGGCGCAUAUGUGUGCAUUUUUCCGGCUUACACUUGUCCCACGGAUAGAAGAUAGCUACAAGGGAAAACUGAUUGCUCUUUCUGUGUCGAGUGUCGAGUAUCGAGUGUUGAUUGUUCGGCAUUGGCUAUAUAUAGCAGCGGAGAUUGAUAGGAGGCAGCAGCAACUUCUUUCGUAUUAAAUUCAUGAAAGUUAAGUGCUUUGUAAUUGAUCUUAUAAAAUAUUUAUGACAGACAGGCCCCGGGCCCCGGUCCCCGCCAGUUACCUGCCGUUCUGUGUAUUCCGAUUCCAAAUGAUUCCCGCACUCGUACCUUUUUCCACUGAUGGGGCCAAAGUUAGAUUUUCCACCUAAUUGACAUUAAUUAUUUAAAAGGACGUCAUGCGAAUCUUUCGACCAAAGUGUUUCUGCUGCCAGCCCUUGCCCCUGUCCCAGUCCCUGGCCCUGCCCCUCUGCGGUAAAGUAAAGUGUUGGGCCUCUGGCUACCAGUCGCUCAAUUUAAAGUAAUCCCCGUAAGGAGAAUGUGCCAAGAGAUUCUCGGCACUGUUUGUUGUCUGCCCCCUUGGCUUGGCCCCUCUUGACCACCCCCUGGCCAGACGCUACUCAGGACAUUGACUUGACGUACUUGACCAGACGCCCAGGACCAGCACAAAAACACCCAAAGCAAAAGCCCAAAACUGAUAAUGAUGCUGUUGGCGACUUUGUGUUUACUUAUGCCCAGUGGCCUUCAGCAGAGUGAGCCUGCCCUGCCCCUUCCCUGGCUUUGAUGUUUCCCUGGAAUGAUGAAUUAUAUUUGACAACUAUGGGCUUUGGGCCUCAGUCUCGACGCAGAACAGGCUGCUACUCCUGCACAAAGACACGCACCCAUGCACCCAUUCUCGUUCCCAUUCCCAUGCUUUCCUCAUAUGUUACGUUGGCAGAGCAAGAGCAGGACUUGGGAUAUGUUUAUUUUACUGUCAAAACAUUAAAGUAAACUCUCGGUGCAGUGAAGCACCCCAAAAACAGGGUUGAUUCUUAUCGAGGGGCGGUGUCGACAGCCGAGCGCCGUGUGCUCCGUCAACUUGCCACUUGGAGUGUGCGCGAGGCGAGGGUGGAAUUAUUGAAAUAUAUAUCUGCAGCACGGUGUCACGCGGUGGUCUACUGGCUUUACCUUCAAAGCACAGCAGCCACAGCUCGCCACAGCUCGCCCCAGCAGCAGCAGCAGACAAGUGUAGGUACAUUUGCAUAUGUUGACGGCAUAUUCUAACAGAUCCUGCCGGGAUUUCCUGCUUAGCGUGGCACAGGCACCAGUGCCACCCUUGGUCUGCACCACAUACGAGUCCUUCUCGGGUCACAUGCCUUUUUGACAACUCAUAACAAUCACUCAUCAUAAACAAAGUCCGGCGCUAGCCUCGAGCUGCCUCCUGGACAGACUAGAGCCACAGCUGAUGAUGGGCGCUCCCGCCUGGGACUUGCUUUUAUGGCUAGAAAAAAAAUUAAUAGACCACUCUUGAAUGGCCUGGACUGGCAGGUGAAUAACUCACUCUGGGUUUUACAUAGUUUCUGAUUUAAUGUCUGAACCAAUUAGUUAAUUAUCGAGCUCCAGCUGGGAUAAUUAUCGCCUUAUCCUUUGAUUCCUACUGCUGCCAGCAGAAGGGUCUCUGGGUCUCUGGGUAUCUGGUCUUGGGUCCGUCUUGAAGCCAAACGUCUUUCGGUCAAUUAAAACAAUCCACAAAAUAAUUGCCAAGAAAUUUAUUCGCUUCAUUAACUUGUUAAAGGACGUCGGACAUGAAAGUUAAGCACAAAGUCAGCCGCAUCAAUUCAGCCAGAAAAUUAAGUGAAAUAAUUAAAUCUCAAUCGGGAUCUAUUAGAUUUGUGUUGAUGUUGAUGUUGAUGUUGGCUUUGCCUUUGGCUUUGGUCCAUGGCCCUUGUCAGUGCCCGAGUGAGCAGAGGGAUGAACACAGAUAAAUUUUGGCAGGACGGCAGCUAAUCUCCCACCGACUGGCCCAGCAAGGGGUUAACGAGCGCCGCCAUCCGACGAUGGGGUUGGAAAAUGUGUUAUAUAUUCGAAAAUGCAACAAUCGCAAGGCAAGGCGUUGAUGGAGGGGUGUGGGCACUAGACACAGACACUGACACCAACCAUUUAUCACCCACGCAGCAUCUUUCAUAAUCAGACCAACCGACCGACCCCGACCGGCAGUAGGCAAAAAUGCAAAUGACUCAGCCCCAGUGUCGGUUGGGAGCUGCAUAAAGGACGACCGCGCUGGUCGGCUUUUAAUUUACAGCGUCCUCCGGCACAUGCACCACUCACAUCGAAUGGGGGUCCACCAAUACCAAAUGGGGUCUGGACAGGGCCAACCGAGACAUGGGGCAAGAGAGCCGCCAUGCCGCCAUCGCGCGGUUUUGCCUUCUCUUCUUCCACAAUGAUGCCAGACAAAAGGUCGACACGUUCCCAUUCCGAGCGGCUUAAUUAAUUUAUGCACUCAUGGUCGGUCGCAAUGCAUCGAGUAGGAACAUUGACUCUGGGACUCGGGACUCGGGACUCUGGACUGCGCAGGAGGGAUGCGAUGCGAUGCGAAUGGGAAUGGGGGAUACGGAUGGAUCGAGACUUCCAGUUUAGUUCGACUUAAGCUAUAGGAGGACAUCAUUUCUUGGCUCUUCUUGAAAACCCGCCUAAUUUUAAAAUUAAUGAGCGGCAUCUUGAUGGCCGAUGGAAGCGAUAAGCCCCAUGAUUUUGACUGUCACACACACAGCUACAGAUAGAGGCUCUUCCUCUGCCCUUACCCUUGAUCACAGCUUGAGUAAAUCACGUGUUUAUUGGCACUUCACUUACGACACCGUCGCAUCGUCCCCAAAGUACGAGAAUAAGGUGAAAAAAAACGAAAACUAAAAUGGCAUCACUCCAUAGGGGACCUCUAUAGUGCCUUUCCGACUGCCCUGAACUGCCCUGGACUGAUCGAGUGAGUGGGAACGGGGGGGGAAACCAACUGAGCAACGUCAUUAAUUAGCUGGGAGAACUGAAGUGUGGGGACCGUAUGGUAUGGAACCGACGUGUUUAUUUGCUGUGUGUGCCCGUUCAACAUCUCCAAUGCAUUUGGGGCCUUCAUUUAGGAGUUCUUUUGUUUUGAAAUGUAUGCCGCAAAGCACCGCAUCGUACAGGCAUGUCCGUGAAAAUCGUGCCAUGCCACAGUCGACAUUUCGACCAAGUUCGAUACCAGCACAGAUCUGUUGCAAUAUGUAGGAAAUACUAUCAGAUAAAUCCCAUCAAAAAUGGCAUAGUAAAUCAUAUAAUAAAUGAAACUUUCCUAGGAAAAAUGUGUAUUAAAAUUUAAAUCGUUCAAUUAUUAGACUCAAGCUUUCCCUUCCAAGACCUGCAUUCCGAAAGAUCUUUUGUAUGGCUGAAAUUCUCAUUAAAAGCAUGUACAUCAGUGCUACCUAUAUUUCGUUCCUCGACUGUCUUCAUCUGACUGUGUCAUUUAUUUUGUUUGACCGGAAACUCUUUAUCUUACGGUUAAUCUUCUUGAUAUUUCAGAUGUGGAAAAGCCAAAAGGCCGAUGCGUUCUUAAUUCCAACAUUAAGACAAAAAUGGAAAGAAAAAAAAACUCUUGGCUUUGGUAUGAAAUUGAUUCAUUCAUUUUCAAUCCAUUGAGUCAGAUUCUUAUCCGAUGGAUGAGUCGGAGCCGGUCCAGCACCCAGCUUCAGCACUUUCAAUAGUAUGCAUCCAACAUCCAACAUCCAACAGGUAGUCAAAGCAGACAGACUGUCUCCACUGGGCCCCGCCAGACGAUAUGUCUUCUCGUAUGAGAGAAGUAGGAGUAGGAGGUAAGUAUAUUUGUAAGUAUAUUUAAAACAAGAAACUUGCAACGCUGAAAAGUGCAAUUUAGUGGCGUGUAUUGUCAGUUAAAAUACACUUUGGAUAAUUGUUUGAUUGAAUAUAUUGACUAUUUCAGAUUGCCAACUGACGCGUCAUCAAUAAAGGAAUGUUCUGGUUUCGAAAUGGUUUGAGUAUGAAUUUGAGACUACUUUUUUCUGAGCAUAUCACUAAUUCGUUCUUUCAAUUUCAGAGUGUGUGGAACUGUUCCGAGCACAGGAGAUGGAUGGAUGGAUUGAUCGAGAAUAAACCCUAUUUAGUAAAAUAAUAGACUAAGAGACGCAGUUGAAUAUUUGGAAUAUUUCUAGUCGUGAUUGGCAAUACGAACUUUACUCUAUAAGAAAAAGACAUGCACCAAUAUUUUUUAUAAAGAUAUAUGAAGAUUAUAAUUAUUUACAUGUACAUACAUAUGUGCAGAAUGAAAUUUCC